AUUGAACGCUGGCGGCAUGCUUUACACAUGCAAGUCGAACGGCAGCGCGGGGGCAACCCUGGCGGCGAGUGGCGAACGGGUGAGUAAUGUAUCGGAACGUAUCCUGUAAUGGGGGAUAACCAGUCGAAAGAUUGGGUAAUACCGCAUACGCACGAGAGUGGAAAGUAGGGGAUCGCAAGACCUUACGUUAUAGGAGCGGCCGAUAUCUGAUUAGCUAGUUGGUGGGGUAAAGGCCUACCAAGGCGACGAUCAGUAGCUGGUCUGAGAGGAUGAUCAGCCACACUGGGACUGAGACACGGCCCAGACUCCUACGGGAGGCAGCAGUGGGGAAUUUUGGACAAUGGGCGAAAGCCUGAUCCAGCCAUGCCGCGUGCGGGAAGAAGGCCUCGGUUGU
This 394-nucleotide ribosomal RNA is filed under the name uncultured bacterium. RNAcentral's name for it is "bacterial SSU rRNA". It matches the Rfam family "Bacterial small subunit ribosomal RNA", at positions 30 to 426 of the family's 1533-position model. The record is from RNAcentral.